Molecule: ribosomal RNA, 1445 nt
Filed under: uncultured organism
Description: SSU rRNA
Rfam family: Bacterial small subunit ribosomal RNA
Source: RNAcentral
GCUACAGGCUUAACACAUGCAAGUCGAGGGGCAGCAUGGUCUUAGCUUGCUAAGGCCGAUGGCGACCGGCGCACGGGUGAGUAACACGUAUCCAACCUGCCGUCUACUCUUGGACAGCCUUCUGAAAGGAAGAUUAAUACAAGAUGGCAUCAUGAGUCCGCAUGUUCACAUGAUUAAAGGUAUUCCGGUAGACGAUGGGGAUGCGUUCCAUUAGAUAGUAGGCGGGGUAACGGCCCACCUAGUCUUCGAUGGAUAGGGGUUCUGAGAGGAAGGUCCCCCACAUUGGAACUGAGACACGGUCCAAACUCCUACGGGAGGCAGCAGUGAGGAAUAUUGGUCAAUGGGCGAGAGCCUGAACCAGCCAAGUAGCGUGAAGGAUGACUGCCCUAUGGGUUGUAAACUUCUUUUAUAAAGGAAUAAAGUCGGGUAUGGAUACCCGUUUGCAUGUACUUUAUGAAUAAGGAUCGGCUAACUCCGUGCCAGCAGCCGCGGUAAUACGGAGGAUCCGAGCGUUAUCCGGAUUUAUUGGGUUUAAAGGGAGCGUAGAUGGAUGUUUAAGUCAGUUGUGAAAGUUUGCGGCUCAACCGUAAAAUUGCAGUUGAUACUGGAUAUCUUGAGUGCAGUUGAGGCAGGCGGAAUUCGUGGUGUAGCGGUGAAAUGCUUAGAUAUCACGAAGAACUCCGAUUGCGAAGGCAGCCUGCUAAGCUGCAACUGACAUUGAGGCUCGAAAGUGUGGGUAUCAAACAGGAUUAGAUACCCUGGUAGUCCACACGGUAAACGAUGAAUACUCGCUGUUUGCGAUAUACUGCAAGCGGCCAAGCGAAAGCGUUAAGUAUUCCACCUGGGGAGUACGCCGGCAACGGUGAAACUCAAAGGAAUUGACGGGGGCCCGCACAAGCGGAGGAACAUGUGGUUUAAUUCGAUGAUACGCGAGGAACCUUACCCGGGCUUAAAUUGCAGAUGAAUUACGGUGAAAGCCGUAAGCCGCAAGGCAUCUGUGAAGGUGCUGCAUGGUUGUCGUCAGCUCGUGCCGUGAGGUGUCGGCUUAAGUGCCAUAACGAGCGCAACCCUUGUUGUCAGUUACUAACAGGUUCCGCUGAGGACUCUGACAAGACUGCCAUCGUAAGAUGUGAGGAAGGUGGGGAUGACGUCAAAUCAGCACGGCCCUUACGUCCGGGGCUACACACGUGUUACAAUGGGGGGUACAGAGGGCCGCUACCACGCGAGUGGAUGCCAAUCCCCAAAACCUCUCUCAGUUCGGACUGGAGUCUGCAACCCGACUCCACGAAGCUGGAUUCGCUAGUAAUCGCGCAUCAGCCACGGCGCGGUGAAUACGUUCCCGGGCCUUGUACACAUCGCCCGUCAAGCCAUGGGAGCCGGGGGUACCUGAAGUGCGUAACCGCGAGGAGCGCCCUAGGGUAAAACUGGUGACUGGGGCUAAGUCG